AGUGAACGCUGGCGGUAGGCCUAACACAUGCAAGUCGAACGGCAGCACAGUAAGAGCUUGCUCUUACGGGUGGCGAGUGGCGGACGGGUGAGGAAUACAUCGGAAUCUACUUUUUCGUGGGGGAUAACGUAGGGAAACUUACGCUAAUACCGCAUACGACCUACGGGUGAAAGCAGGGGAUCUUCGGACCUUGCGCGAUUGAAUGAGCCGAUGUCGGAUUAGCUAGUUGGCGGGGUAAAGGCCCACCAAGGCGACGAUCCGUAGCUGGUCUGAGAGGAUGGUCAGCCACACUGGAACUGAGACACGGUCCAGACUCCUACGGGAGGCAGCAGUGGGGAAUAUUGGACAAUGGGCGCAAGCCUGAUCCAGCCAUACCGCGUGGGUGAAGAAGGCGUUCGGGUUGUAAAGCCCUUUUGUUGGGAAAGAAAAGCAGCAGGUUAAUACCCCGCUGUUCUGACGGUACCCAAAGAAUAAGCACCGGCUAACUUCGUG
RNAcentral lists this ribosomal RNA (492 nucleotides) under uncultured bacterium. RNAcentral's name for it is "partial 16S ribosomal RNA". It matches the Rfam family "Bacterial small subunit ribosomal RNA", at positions 29 to 507 of the family's 1533-position model. The record is from RNAcentral.